GGGAUAAGAAACCUUCCUCUUAAUUUGGAGAUUAGAGGGAAGAGAGAGCCGCUAUUCCUCGGGGUCCUGCAUUCAGUGGUAAGCCAAUUCCCCCAGACAUCUUCCUGCUCCCUGCUGACAGUGAAGAUGCCACUGCUACUCCUUCACUUGCUCAUUCUGCAAAAGUUUGUAGCGCUUCUGCAAGGAGAAUGGCAUUGUUAAGUCCCUACAGGAAGUGGAGAAAAAGAACCAGGAUUGGGAGGUCACAGAACCUGAAAACAACAUGAUUGCCUCUGUGGACUUCGGUUUCAGUUACUCACACCUGGGCUUUUUAGAAGUAAUUUUAAUGGAUACAGUCAAAGCUCAGCCUCUAGAAGAUCCCACAUGACCCCACUGUAGGAGCAUGAGAAGAACGUUCAGGAAGAAGGGGUUCAAGUGGUAGAUGAUAAGAAUCUACAGGUGGCACAAUAGACAUAUUACCUUCUUUGGUGGAGUCUGUAAAGAUAUCACUAAAGUUUAAUAAUAAAGUAUGAAUAUUCAGACCCUU
This 526-nucleotide long non-coding RNA is filed under the name Pongo abelii (Sumatran orangutan). RNAcentral's name for it is "lincRNA". Lineage: Eukaryota; Metazoa; Chordata; Mammalia; Primates; Hominidae. The record is from RNAcentral.